This 3092-nucleotide long non-coding RNA is filed under the name Homo sapiens (human). RNAcentral's name for it is "HSALNT0308526". Lineage: Eukaryota; Metazoa; Chordata; Mammalia; Primates; Hominidae. The record is from RNAcentral.
AGAGUUUUUGCUAAAAGCAGCUAGGAAGCCCCACGGCUCCAGUGUGCGUGAACUCCUGGUAAUUUCCUUGGGGAAUCCCGCCUCAGAGAACCUCUACCCCGAGAAUUAGGAGGAAGCUGAGCUAGGCUGACUUGAGGAAAGAGAGCUGGAGGAGCGGGGUUCAACAUUUUUCAAAAUAAAAAGUUGGUAGAAUAAUAGGAAGCCAUGAGGACCAAGAAGCUCACAUUUCCAAGGCUUUCUAAGUUUCACCUUGAAGCAAGAUACAUCAUAAAGCAUUGUCUAGGUACAACUUGCACUUUCCUGUCCAAGCCUCAGACCCUGUUCUUCAUCUGGGCCCACAGAGCAACAGCUUCCACUUUUGUGGCCAAAGAAAAAUGCUAACCAGCUUGUAAUUGCUGUAAGGAGAUGGAGUUUCACUUACAUCCAGGCUGGAAUGCAGUGGCGUGAUCUUGGCUCACUGGAACCUCCACCUCCUGGGUUCAAGCAAUUCUCGUGCUUCAGCCUCCCGAGUAGCUGGGAUUAUAGGUACGCUCUUUCAUGCCCAGCUAAUUUUUGUAUUUGUAGUACAGAUGGGGUUUUGCCAUGUUGGCCAGGCUGGUCUUGAACUCCUGGCCUCAAGUGAUCUGCCUGCCUCAGCCUCCCAAAGUGCUGGGAUUACAGGUGUGAGCCACCAUGCCCAACCUCAUUUAUUUAUUCGUGUGUGUGUGUGUGUGUGUGUGUGUGUGUGUGUGUGUAUAACUGCCUAAUAGCUUAUACCUUAAGAGAGCCUUAAAUAGUAUAAGAAAGAAAAGAUAAACAAAGGGCAAGACUGUCACAUCUGUGUGGCUACAAAAGGAAAAUAUUCCUUACACAGCAUAUUUCCUACAUGAUUGACAAAGCUAGCAAUCUGCAUUCAAAAGCAUGUAGCCCAUGUACCACAGGCUACAUACAGGCUCUCAGGCUAAUGAUCAGAAUAACAAUUAUGAGUAACUUUUCCCGAAUGCUUACUAAGUGCCAGGCACUACACUAAGUGUUGUUUUGUUUUGUUUUGUUUUUGAGACAGAGUCUCACUGUGUCACCCAGGCUGGAGUGCAGUGGUGAGAUCUUGGAUCACUGCAACCUCCUCCCAGGUUCAAGCGAUUCUCCUGCCUCAGCCACCCAAGUAGCUGGGAUUACAGGCGUGUACCACCAUGCCCAGCUACUUUUUGUGUUUUUAGUAGAGACCGGGUUUCACUAUGUUGGCCAGGAUGGUCUAAAACUCCUGACCUAAGGUGAUCCACCUGCCUCAGCCUCCCAAAGUGCUGGGAUGACAGGCAUGAGCCACUGUGCCCGGCCUUACACUAAGUGUUUUGCAUAAUGUUAUAUGCCUUGUUUAAUCCUCAUUUUUCGAAGGAGGCUCCUGAGACUCACAGAAGUGAGCUGCACAGAGUCAUGUGAUUGAUAAGUGGUUAAGCUGAGGUUCAAAUACAGGCCACUGAAUUUCAAACUAAAAACCCACAAUCAUUCCAGGCACCACCUUAAAGUUCUACUUAUAAGGGGCCAGCGAGUGGCACACGGCCCAGGACGAAAAAGUGAGUGAGGAUAUUCAAACACAAGUCACAUCACGACAUGGCAAAAACAGAAAAACUUUGAUGUUCUCCAUCUGUUCUUCAGACAGAGAGCUCAAACAUAAGAGAGUAGGGCUCAACUUUAAGACAGAAACUGCCCAGCACCAUCUGCAGGUGGAUUGCAUUGUUUGGGGAGGCAGUCACAUGACCCAGAUCUGCUUCCUGCCUCUGCUUGCAGAAGUCUAACACUCUGAGGGCUAACACCAAUCCUGCUUGCAGGAUUCUAACACUCUGAGGCUCCGAGGUUGUUAAAGUCCCUGUCUCCCACACUACCAACCCCACUGUCAGCUUGACCAUGAGUGAAUGCCUUCACCAAUGUAUAGAAAGGACCUUGCUAAUAGGAAAAAAGAUGAGCCUGGAGCCUAAACAGGAAGGCUUUCUCUUCCACGGAUUGGAAGCACCGCUAAAGAAGCUGGCUGACUUGUGAGGUUCGGGGAUAACGAAGUAUGAAUGUACAGCUCCGGGUACUGUGCUUGGAGCAUAUGAAACAUGCAACACAUGACUAGUGUUGUUAUACAGUUUUCAUUCCCACAGUCUCUAACAAAAUAUAGUCAUACGUCUUUUUUUAAAAAGACGUGUUGGAUUCUAGUGCUGAGAAGAAGAGAAGCUACCACUAAUAUAGCAUGAGAGAGUGGCAGACAGAGAGAUCCCUGGGGACCCACAUUUUUCAGGGAGAAACCCCAAUUCUUUCUGCCCUUCAAGCAGUGGCACACAGCAGAAAGUGAAAUCAUUCAUUGGACAGCUUGAUUGGAAACUGUGAUUUAUAUUACAGGGAUCUUUUUGCCACAAUAGCCUAAUCUAAAUCAGGCCAUUAUUUCAUACAAGCCAUUAUUUCAUAAAGUUUUACAUUUUAACCUGUAACUCAGGUACCAAGUUUCCUCAAGCUACACAUUCCCACUCAUCAACAAUAUCAUUGGUUUGACAUUAUACAUACAAAAAGAGCAAUUUUUUAAGAAAAACAGUUAUAAGCUGAUACAUCAUUUUCAACACACCCUAUAUAUAAAGUUGCUGUGUUUCAGAGGUUAUUUGGAUUAUUUUAAUCUAUUGAAAAAAAAAGCUAACACGACACUUUUGGACAGUUCAGCCUCCUUUUUCUUUGCUUUGAUGGUGUUCUUUUCUCCUUUUCUCCCUCUAGUUUUUAUCUCUGUUCAAAAGCAAGAUUUUAAAUCCUGUAAGUAGAAAUUGGAACAACUUCUGGGCUUUGCACAGCACCUAGCUAGUUCUUCAGGAUAUUCUUUGUUCUAUUUUUUAACAUACAUUUUUAAAGGUAAUAAUAAACUAAACUUUGACCUUUAAAAUCUUCAAAUAAAUCAAUCAGCAGAGAAAUAACUAGGUAAAGAGCAGAAUGGAAAACAAUCAAACAAGGCUGGAAAGUCAUAGAAAAUUCCUAAAAUUGUGUGUUUGUAUGUGUGUGUGUGUGUGUGUGCAUGUUGUUGUUCUUAUUGUUCAUUUGUAUAUGUGUGAUUUGAGCAACAUUUGAGAAAAAAAAAAUAAGAAAAUGAGGAA